CUAGACGAACUGCCGUUGGACAAAAACGGAGGAAAGGUGGGGAUGACGUCAAAUCAUCAUGCCCCUUAUGUUCUGGGCUACACACGUGCUACAAUGGCCGGUACAGACGACGCAAAGCCGCGAGGUGGAGCAAAUCCUAAAAAGCCGGUCUCAGUUCGGAUUGCAGGCUGCAAUUCGCCUGCAUGAAGUCGGAAUCGCUAGUAAUCGCAGGUCAGCAUACUGCGGUGAAUACGUUCCCGGGCCUU
This 245-nucleotide ribosomal RNA is filed under the name uncultured Bacillus sp. RNAcentral describes it as "partial 16S ribosomal RNA". It matches the Rfam family "Bacterial small subunit ribosomal RNA", at positions 1140 to 1382 of the family's 1533-position model. Lineage: Bacteria; Bacillati; Bacillota; Bacilli; Caryophanales; Bacillaceae. The record is from RNAcentral.